This is a small nucleolar RNA of Mus pahari (shrew mouse), 133 nucleotides long. RefSeq annotates it as small nucleolar RNA SNORA17. The transcript has a single exon. The record is from RefSeq and is a predicted model, not a curated record. Lineage: Eukaryota; Metazoa; Chordata; Mammalia; Rodentia; Muridae.
ACUGACCCUAGAAGCAUUGAAGGUGUGGCUGCUAUGUCACAUGUGCGUCAGUAGGUGGCAGAAAAGAGACAGUAUGUCUAUGCUCAGCUUUCUGACUUGGUUAUGAGAAACAGCUUUUUAAAUUAUUAUUAUU